CAUUGCACUGUGUGUAUGUAAUGUAUUUGAAUUCAGAGUGAAAAAGCCGUUGCAAGUAGUAUCAUCCUCCUGAAUACUCUCGUUUUCUCCUGCAAAUUUACAGUAUGGGCAUCUUUUUUUAACAUCUUUCGUCAAAGAAGUGGAUUCAAAGCAAAUUGUGGCCUCAGUAUAUUGAUGUGAAAACAUGCAGAAAAUGCUACUUUCUCUCAACCUUGUAGAUGUUCCCUACUUCCCUAAGGAUCAGCAGCCUCUUGAAACAGAAUUCCUUGCGUCUAUGUUCCUUGGAUCUGAAAACAGUGCAUAAUGCAGGAGAUUCCACCCAAAAGCUAACCCACAAGUCCAAGCUGAAGUGGAAUAUUUCUACACUCACCCGAUAGCUUUACUGCUAGAGAAAGGUGGUCAUAUAGAUGUCAUUUAGAGGACACAAAAGACGUAAAGAUCAUGUAAGGAUAAAAGGUACAUCGAAAUGACCAGUAAGAUGUAAAUAUCACGUCAAAAUUUGAUGUCCAUACAACGUAUUCACGACGUCUGUAGGACGUCUUUCUUGGGUAAAAGUUGACGUCUUAAAGACGUCUUUCUUGGACCAAUAAGACCA
Molecule: long non-coding RNA, 595 nt
Filed under: Strongylocentrotus purpuratus (purple sea urchin)
Lineage: Eukaryota; Metazoa; Echinodermata; Echinoidea; Camarodonta; Strongylocentrotidae
Description: uncharacterized LOC115922733, transcript variant X1
Source: RNAcentral